CCCUUGUUAAAUGUUGUACUUUGUGGAUACCCAUGAAUCUUGAAACACUUAUCAAUUAAGUGCCCAGAUUUUUUGUAGUAUCUACAGAAUAAAGAUCCUCUAUCUUGGUCAAAAUUGACUCUUUGUCUGAAAGAAGGAGAAGUAUUAGGCACCGUGACCUUAUUGAAUCCAACUGAAUGUUUAUUUGUGUGGACAUUGAAAGACAUAGAGUCUGGAUUAAACUGAGAAGGGGACUGGACUUAUCUCUGCUUCUCAUCAUUGAGGACCAUAUUAUAGACACUGUCAAGGGUUGGAGGUGGCUGCAUCAUCAAUAGGUUACUCCUUACCCCCAUGUAUGCUUGAGGUGGCUGCAUCAUCAAUAGGUUACUCCUUACCCCUCAUGUAUGCUUCAUUAAGGCCCAUUAGAAACUAAAACACCUUAUUUUCAUCAUCUUCCUGUAUUAUACCAUUUUUGGCAGCACAUACACAUCUUUGCCCAUGAUUUGUACACAUUGUUUAUAAUUCAUCCCACAGACCUUUAAGUUUGUUAAAAUAUGAAGCUACAUCUAGAGACCCUUGAGAAGUGUGAGAAAGCUCUCUUUUCAAUUCAAAAAUUUUGGUCCUGUUGGCAGUGUCAUAUCUGGCCUGAAGCUGGGACCAUAUACUUAGUGCAGUAUCAG
Molecule: long non-coding RNA, 659 nt
Filed under: Nicotiana benthamiana
Lineage: Eukaryota; Viridiplantae; Streptophyta; Magnoliopsida; Solanales; Solanaceae
Description: long non-coding RNA (NBEN_LNC023290)
Source: RNAcentral